GAAAUCCCCUUCGGAGGGAGGCCAGUGGAAAUGCCUAGAUACGUGGGAGAAGGCGGAGGCGAAAGCUCCCCACUGGGCCGCGCUGACACUGAGAGACGAAAGCUAGGGGAGCGAAUGGGAUUAGAGACCCCAGUAGUCCUAGCCGUAAACGAUGGGCACUCGAUGCUGCGCGUGGGACGCGCAGUAUCCCAGCUAACGCGAUAAGUGCCCCGCCUGAGGAGUACGCUUGCAAGGGUGAAACUCAAAGGAAUUGACGGGGGCUCGCACAAGCGGUGGAGCAUGUGGUUUAAUUCGAUGCAACGCGAAGAACCUUACCUGGGCUUGACAUGGUGCCUGCGCGCUCCUAACGGGGUUCCGCACUACGGGCACACACAGGUGGUGCACGGCUGUCGUCAGCUCGUGUCGUGAGGUGUUGGGUUAAGUCCCGCAACGAGCGCAACCCCCAUCUGGAGCCGCUAGGCUGCAGAGACUGCCAAAUACCGAACUUCGGUUCGGAGCUGGAGGAAGGUGGGGAUGACGUCAAGUCAUCAUGCCCCUUAUGCCCUGGGCUACACACGUGCUACAAUGGUCGGGUCAAUGGUUGGCAGGAAACACGUCACCUGUGCCUUUCCGCGAGGGAAGGUUUCCCUAAACCCGGCCCCACUUCGGAUCGUGGGCUGCAACUCGCCCACGUGAAGCCGGAAUCGCUAGUAAUCGCCGGUCAGCAAUACGGCGGUGAAUACGUUCCCGAGCCUUGUACACACCGCCCGUCACGCCACGGGAGUUGGCCUUUCCCGAAGCUUUCGUUGAGAAGGUGAAGGAAGGGCUGGUAACUGGGGUGAAGUCGUAACAAGGUAGCCGUAA
RNAcentral lists this ribosomal RNA (843 nucleotides) under uncultured bacterium. RNAcentral describes it as "bacterial SSU rRNA". It matches the Rfam family "Bacterial small subunit ribosomal RNA", at positions 662 to 1505 of the family's 1533-position model. The record is from RNAcentral.